RNAcentral lists this non-coding RNA (25 nucleotides) under Rattus norvegicus (Norway rat). The record is from RNAcentral. Lineage: Eukaryota; Metazoa; Chordata; Mammalia; Rodentia; Muridae.
UUCUUGCAUGUGGUUCCCUGAUGGU